AGCGGGCGAGAGCGCUGGUGUGCUCGCCGGUCUCAUAAGCCGGAUAUGAUCGGUUCGAUCCCGAUGCCCGCAACCA
RNAcentral lists this transfer RNA (76 nucleotides) under Brucella anthropi. Its description in RNAcentral is "tRNA-Met". It matches the Rfam family "tRNA". Rfam says of the family: Transfer RNA (tRNA) molecules are approximately 80 nucleotides in length. Their secondary structure includes four short double-helical elements and three loops (D, anti-codon, and T loops). Further hydrogen bonds mediate the characteristic L-shaped molecular structure. tRNAs have two regions of fundamental functional importance: the anti-codon, which is responsible for specific mRNA codon recognition, and the 3' end, to which the tRNAs corresponding amino acid is attached (by aminoacyl-tRNA synthetases). tRNAs cope with the degeneracy of the genetic code in two manners: having more than one tRNA (with a specific anti-codon) for a particular amino acid; and 'wobble' base-pairing, i.e. permitting non-standard base-pairing at the 3rd anti-codon position. Lineage: Bacteria; Pseudomonadati; Pseudomonadota; Alphaproteobacteria; Hyphomicrobiales; Brucellaceae. The record is from RNAcentral. RNAcentral also lists the same sequence under 13 other names.